RNAcentral lists this ribosomal RNA (418 nucleotides) under Acanthamoeba sp. Its description in RNAcentral is "SSU rRNA". It matches the Rfam family "Eukaryotic small subunit ribosomal RNA", at positions 788 to 1107 of the family's 1831-position model. The record is from RNAcentral. Lineage: Eukaryota; Discosea; Longamoebia; Acanthamoebidae.
GRAWCCAAUUUUCUGCCACCGAAUACAUUAGCAUGGGAUAAUGGAAUAGGACCCUGUUUCAAUUUUCAGUUGGUUUUGGCAGCGCGAGGACUAGGGUAAUGAAUAAUAGGGAUAGUUGGGGGCAUUAAUAUUUAAUUGUCAGAGGUGAAAUUCUUGGAUUUAUGAAAGAUUAACUUCUGCGAAAGCAUCUGCCAAGGAUGUUUUCAUUAAUCAAGAACGAAAGUUAGGGGAUCGAAGACGAUCAGAUACCGUCGUAGUCUUAACCAUAAACGAUGCCGACCAGCGAUUAGGAGACGUUGAAUACAAAACACCACCAUCGGUGCGGUCGUCCUUGGCGCGUUGGUCUUCAAAAGCCAGCGCGCGGGGGCGGCUUAGCCCGGUGGCACCGGUGAAUGACUCCCCUAGCAGCUUGUGWKAA